GCGUCCAUAGUCUAGUGGUAUGACGUGAGCCUUCCAAGCUCAAUGUCCGGGUUCGAUUCCCGGUGGGCGCA
Molecule: transfer RNA, 71 nt
Filed under: archaeon
Lineage: Archaea
Also listed under: 1 other name
Description: tRNA-Gly
Rfam family: tRNA
About the family: Transfer RNA (tRNA) molecules are approximately 80 nucleotides in length.
Source: RNAcentral